UUAUUUUUUUUUAUUAAGUUUUUCGAAAUACUAUAUUAUUAAUUUUUUUCAUUAAUUUUUUCAACAUGCUAUACUAUCAUUUAUAUUAAAUUAUAGUGUAUACAACUGCUAUUAUUACAUAUUUCCAUGAUUAUGAUCAACAUUUUGCAAACUGUUAUACCAAAUCAGUUUGUGUGCCUCUCAUGUAGCAUUAGCUAGUUAGAUAGCCACGCAAAACUCUCGCGAGACUCGCUACCCGACGACCUAUCCUUACCUUGAACUAUUUGAGGUCAAUGCCUAACCUUAAUAAUAUCGCGAGUUUUCCCAGCUUGCGGGCUCCCUUCUAGUCCCUAGCCACUACCAGGUAACAACAGCUAGCAAUUUAACCUGUCAAAGUCCCCAGGAGAUGUGCCCUGUGUCGACCAUCAGAUCAAGCAGUCAGAGAAAAGAGCUGUCCUCUGUAGAGCGCAGCGCUCUGCGUGUCCUUCUGGACCUGUUAGACCGGCAUAGCAGUGAGUUGAUGACCAGCGGCGGUGGUUUUCCCUGAGAGAUGCAGAGGAAAGAUUGGAAAAUGUGAACCACAUCUUUACUGACCCUUGCUGGAGAUGUAGAGAUCCUGUGGUCAGUGUAUUCAACCUGCUAUUUGAAGAUUCGGAGACUCACCCUGCCACCAUGACAAGAGGGUCUUUCUCUUGGCUGAGGUCAGUGGCGACAGUCAGGCCUUGUCGGCCGUGUGCGUGGGGAGGGAGAGACACGAGCGCCACCAUGUGGGGACUUUUGGUGAGU
Long non-coding RNA from Sebastes umbrosus (honeycomb rockfish), 765 nucleotides. RefSeq lists it as uncharacterized. NCBI's taxonomy places the organism in Eukaryota, Metazoa, Chordata, Actinopteri, Perciformes, Sebastidae. The transcript has 5 exons. The record is from RefSeq and is a predicted model, not a curated record.